CUUGGGAUAGGAGGAUAGACUGGUCUGAGAGAGAAAGGUCAGUUGAUGGAAUAAGGUCUCAGUUUAGUUAUGUUCUCAUCAGCCCAUUCUUGGCUGGCCUUCUUACACAUUCAGACCAACUCUAGGGAAUAUUGUCUCCAUCUUCUGGAUGGAGCUAGCUGCAGGAUCAGUUAUGAGAAUUCAGAGUCUUGUCAUCUCUUUUUUGUGGAGGAAGGUCUAGCAUUGAAAAUGUGCUGUUUUUAAGAAAACCUAAGAUCUAAGACUUACAGAAAUCUCUUGCAAUGUGCAUCUUUACCAGUUAGCUAAAGUAAUGCAUUUACUCUUGAAAAAACCAUUUUACAUAUGGAUACCUUUUUUGUUUCAACAAAUAUAGGAAACUUCAUACAUCAGAAGUGCCAUAUAUCUGUGCUAGGCGCUUUCAAGAAUGUGAUCUUGUUUCUGUAGGCCUUCUAUGCUCCCUUUUAAUGUUAGCAUUUUUUUCUUUCUUUUUUUUUUGGUACUAGAGACUGAACCCAGGUUUACCAUUUCCAGCCUUUUAAAUUUUUUUUUUGUUUCCUGGCACUCAAACCACUGAGCCACAUCCCCAGCCCUAUUUUGUAUUUUAUUUAGAGACAGGGUCUGAGUUGCCUCACCAUUGCUUAGGCUGGCUUUGAACCUGCAAUCUGUCUCAGACUCUCAAGCCGCUGAGAUAACAGGCUUAUGCCACUUCACUUAGCUGUCUUCAGUACUGGGGAUUGAAUCCAGGAGUACUCUUCCUGAGUUACAUUACCAGCCCCUGGACUUGAACUUGUGAUCCUCUUGCCCUGAUCAGCCUCCCCAGUAGCUGGGAUUAAGUAUGUGCCAUUGCACCUGACUUAUUUAAAUACUACUGGGACUGAACCCAGGGCAAAUGCUAGAUAAAUGCUCUACCACUGAGCUACAUCCUCAGCACUUUAUUUUACCUUUGAUUGUUACUUGAAAUGCAGUUUGAUCCUGUGCCUGGCAUGUAAUGCUCAAUAUUGGCUGAAUUUGGCACAGCAUUAAGAAAUCUCUCACAUUCUAUAACCUAUUUCCCUUUUGCCAAAAAAACCUGCAGCUUUUGUCCAAGAUGUCAUUUUGACAUUUAAAAAUGCUAGUUGAAAGCCAGGUAUAGGGACACAAUUCCAGUGAGUCUGGAAACUGAAGUGGGAUCCUAAGUUUGGGGUUAGCCUGGGCAAAUUAGCCAGACUGUCUCAAAAAGAAAAGAGGUGGGGAAAGGGUUGGGAAUAUAAUUCCUCCUUGGUUCAGUCCCCCAGUACUGGGGGAAAAAAAAAUGCUGGGAGUUGAAUGUAGCCAUUAGUUUAGAAUUCUCAUGAAUGUCAUUCCAGUUAAGUCUUUUACUUAAAAAAGUUUAAACUGGGACAUGAAAACAGCUUAUGCUCAAAUUCUUUACAAAAACUUUCCUUUGAAAAGUUAGGUUUUUGAUUUAGUCCUUGACUUCAUGAGCUGGCAACUGGAUAUGGCUUAGUUUGUGCUAGUUUACAAUCAAGAAUCUAGUCAGUCAGCACACAUUCAUUUCUUCCAGGAAUUUUUAUGGAGCACUUCUAUUCCUAGCAUCAAGUGCUGGGGAUGGUGCAAAAAAGGCUAGUUUCUGCCUUAUGGUAAAGAAGAGCUAGACAAAAAGAGUGAUAUGCUGAUGGGUUAGGAAAACAUUUCUGGAGGUGACCAUAAAAGAAGGACCAGGAGGAAGAGUUGAAAGUAAAGUUGUUUGGCAUCUAAGGAGAGAGAACCUUUCCAGGAAUGGCAAAUUGGCAAGGCAGCAAGGUAAGUGCUAGACAAAUUGGUAGUCUUGGGAGACCAGGCCAAAGCCUGGAUUAGAAGCCAUUACAUUUUUAAAUUAACGUAAUGCAUGUUGAGCAAACAAAAUUGAAAAUAUUUUUGCCUUUUAUUCCACACAAAACUUAAGAUAGGGUUAAAAAUGGUAGUGCACUCAUUGUCUCGUGACUAACUUUAGUUCUUUCCAACACUUCAUCUUUUGCAUCUCCCUAGGUUCCAGAGAAAGAGGGAUCAGCACCUGAAUCUGGGCCACUUUGGCAGGAGAGCCCACCCCAGCUACAUGGGGUUAGGGGCUGAAGAUCAGGUGGUGCUACUCCUUUACUUUCUAAAAACUACAGCCUUGGACUAAGGUUGGGCUUGGAGGUAAAAUGCUCAUCUAGCAUGCAGGAGGCCCUGGAUUUGUUCUGAAGGGCAACAACCUCCAGCCAGGGAUCAUGUUACCAUUAUGAUGGCAGAGGCUAAAGGGAGUUGGGUGCCAAGGAUCUAUGUGCACUUAUUCUGAAAUUAAGUAUAUGGGUUUAGGUUCCUGGGAGUUUAGUACAUAAACUCAAAAAUAUGUGGCAUUAAAGUUCAUUAGAUUAAGAACCUAUGUCCUAUGCUCCACUUAAUAUCUGAGAUACCACCCUAAGGUAUUCCAAAGCAACAUGUUUUUAAAUGACAUGAAAUUUUAGGUAUACAUCCUCUUUACUAUUUCCACUAAUAUAGCCUUUAUUAAGCUCUUUGUAACUAUGUAAUCAGCCUUAUUUAAGUCUCAGAACCACUUCAGUAGGGAGAUUCUAUUAAGACCCCACAAAUAAGGGGCUGGGCAUGUAGCUCAGUGGUAGAAUGCUUGUUUCACAUGUAUGAGAUACACCACAUAAAAAAAUAAUAAAAGACUGGGGACAGUAAAGAUGGUAGAAUGAGAUAGACAUUAUUACCCUAGUAUAUGUAUGACUGGACAUAUGGUGCAAAGCUAUAUCGUGUACAACCAGAGAAGCAAAGUUGUGCUGCUGUUUUGUAAAAUGAAUCAAAAUGCAUUCUGCUGUAAUAUAUACCUACUUAAAUAAAUUAAAAAAGAG
RNAcentral lists this long non-coding RNA (2852 nucleotides) under Marmota monax (woodchuck). Lineage: Eukaryota; Metazoa; Chordata; Mammalia; Rodentia; Sciuridae. The record is from RNAcentral.